GCCAAGGAAACAGAAGUUUCUGGGAGUAUGGAAAUAGCUGUACUUAAAUCCCCGUGCUUGAUGCAGUCAAAGAGGGCUGCGUGUAUGGUGAGGAAUCUCUGGAACUUAUGAGGUGCUGAGGCUUCUGCUGGGGUCAAGAGUCCAGUAGGGAUAGAAUUUGAACCAGCUCUCAGCCAGUUGUUCAGAAAGGCUGCUCACCAUAGACCUCUAAGGAGCUCUUGUGGGUGCCAGAGAAAUCGGCAGGAAAAGCAGCAGAGGACACCAACUGCUGGUUGUUAGCACAUAUACUCAGAUCUACAUUGUGUCUAGCAACUUCUCAGAUUGCGGUAAGAACUGUAAUUCUAUUAGCAUCACACAGAAAGAAUAUGAUUUUUCAAGAAGCGACUUGGCCUUUCUGUGGAAGAGUUUCUCCUUCUUAAGAAGACUGGUAAAAACACAGGGCCAGUGAUUACCAUUUAACAUCAGAAAAGAUGAAAUAAAUGUAUUAACUCUGCCUUGA
Long non-coding RNA from Canis lupus familiaris (dog), 499 nucleotides. RefSeq lists it as uncharacterized. The transcript is spliced from 2 exons. The record is from RefSeq and is a predicted model, not a curated record. NCBI's taxonomy places the organism in Eukaryota, Metazoa, Chordata, Mammalia, Carnivora, Canidae.